Molecule: long non-coding RNA, 1330 nt
Filed under: Sparus aurata (gilthead seabream)
Lineage: Eukaryota; Metazoa; Chordata; Actinopteri; Spariformes; Sparidae
Description: lncRNA (ENSSAUG00010021249.1)
Source: RNAcentral
GAGAUAAUUACCAGCGUGCGUUCUGUCAAAGCUGCGGACACACUGACGCAUCCUGAUGCGAAACAACCCUUAUAAUCUGUGGAUUUACACGUGGGAAUAUUUAUAAUAACUUGUUUUUGUUCCUUCAAAAUAAAACCAUCAGACCAAUUCCAGAGAUUAUGAGAGGAGACACAACUGUGGUAAGUGCUGAGUUGUGUGUGAUUGAUGUAAGUUUUAAAAGCUGCUGUGUUGUUUUUCUACGGAAGAGGAUUAGGGCCAAACAUGAAUUUUUUUUGUAGUUCUGACUUUAAAGUCAGAAUUCUGAGAUUAAAGUCAGAAUUCUGAGAAAAAAGUCAGAAUUCUGAGAAAAAAGUCAGAAUUCUGAGAUUAAAGUCAGAAUUCUGACUUUUUUCUCAGAAUUCUGAGAUUAAAGUCAGAAUUCUGACUUUUUUCUCAGAAUUCUGAGAUUAAAGUCAGAAUUCUGACUUUAAAGUCAGAAUUCUGAGAUUAAAGUCAGAACUAAAAAAAAAAUUCACAUGUGGCCCUAAUCCUCUUCCGUAUUUUUCUUCUUAAUUUCUAACGUUAAUGUUUAUCAGGAGAAUGACGUGGAGGCGGAUGAUAAUGGAGAGAGUGCAGCAGCUGCAGCAUCUGGAGACAGACGACCUAGUCUUGUGACGCUACAGAGUAUGCUAAAGAAAGUUUCCCAGAGCCCUUUCCAUGAUCAAUACAAGGUGAGUCUCUCCACUGACACUAGCUAACCGUCCCAUAACACACGCACAAAUGUACAGCAUGGAAGUCACAUUUGGUUGUGAACAUGUAGUUGAGCCUCCUGCAUGAUUAUGUGAUUAAAGCUUUCUGUAUGUUUCUUCUCAGACUGUCCUUUCAUCAUCAUCUGACUCCAGUGGAUCAUCUGCGACCGAGUCUCGAAACAAACAGAAUGGAGUGUCAGAACAGCUACAUUCAAGUCCUCAGGUAUGUUUUUUGAUGCCAGCGUCACUCUGUUUGAGCCAUCUGUCAGCAGUCCAAGAGAAAUCUAACCACUCUGUUUUCUCACUUGUCCCUUUCUUUGUUUAACAGAAUGGAUUCAAUGGGGGUUUGGCCAGAAGUAACCCUUUUUAUACACAUUACUUGGUACAUAUAAGGAUUUUUAUUUUUUUUUUACAAAAUCAGAUCACAACAUUAUUUUAAGUUCCAUCAUUUUCACUGAACACUUCCCUAAUGACUUGUGCUCUGUUGUCAGGAAUCAGGCAGCAAAAGUCAUGAGGAGGUAGGGAAGGAAAGCGCAGAAAUCAACUUCGGCACCCUCUUUGUCCCUCCACCUGAAUUCAGAGCUCACCUCUGGAUCUUCAGA